This 679-nucleotide ribosomal RNA is filed under the name Salmonella enterica subsp. enterica. RNAcentral's name for it is "bacterial SSU rRNA". The record is from RNAcentral. Lineage: Bacteria; Pseudomonadati; Pseudomonadota; Gammaproteobacteria; Enterobacterales; Enterobacteriaceae.
GCAAGUCGACGGUAACAGGAAGCAGCUUGCUGCUUCGCUGACGAGUGGCGGACGGGUGAGUAAUGUCUGGGAAACUGCCUGAUGGAGGGGGAUAACUACUGGAAACGGUAGCUAAUACCGCAUAACGUCUUCGGACCAAAGAGGGGGACCUUCGGGCCUCUUGCCAUCGGAUGUGCCCAGAUGGGAUUAGCUUGUUGGUGGGGUAACGGCUCACCAAGGCGACGAUCCCUAGCUGGUCUGAGAGGAUGACCAGCCACACUGGAACUGAGACACGGUCCAGACUCCUACGGGAGGCAGCAGUGGGGAAUAUUGCACAAUGGGCGCAAGCCUGAUGCAGCCAUGCCGCGUGUAUGAAGAAGGCCUUCGGGUUGUAAAGUACUUUCAGCGGGGAGGAAGGGGUUGUGGUUAAUAACCGCAGCCAUUGACGUUACCCGCAGAAGAAGCACCGGCUAACUCCGUGCCAGCAGCCGCGGUAAUACGGAGGGUGCAAGCGUUAAUCGGAAUUACUGGGCGUAAAGCGCACGCAGGCGGCGUGUCAAGUCGGAUGUGAAAUCCCCGGGCUCAACCCGGGAACUGCAUUCGAAACUGGCAUGCUAGAGUCUUGUAGAGGGGGGUAGAAUUCCRGGUGUAGCGGUGAAAUGCCUASAGAUCUGGAGGAAUACCGGUGGCGAAAGCGGCC